RNAcentral lists this ribosomal RNA (233 nucleotides) under uncultured bacterium. Its description in RNAcentral is "partial 16S ribosomal RNA". It matches the Rfam family "Bacterial small subunit ribosomal RNA", at positions 84 to 334 of the family's 1533-position model. The record is from RNAcentral.
CCUUCGGGUGAGCGGCGGACGGGUGAGUAACGCGUGGGAAUGUGCCCUUUGGUACGGAACAACUGAGGGAAACUUCAGCUAAUACCGUAUGUGCCCUUCGGGGGAAAGAUUUAUCGCCAUUGGAGCAGCCCGCGUUGGAUUAGGUAGUUGGUGAGGUAAAGGCUCACCAAGCCUACGAUCCAUAGCUGGUCUGAGAGGAUGAUCAGCCACAUUGGGACUGAGACACGGCCCAA